AAUAUUUCGCAAUGGAGGAAACUCUGACGCAGCGACGCCGCGUGAGCGAUGAAGGUCUUCGGAUCGUUAAGCUCUGUCCUUGGGGAAGAAGGUCUUCGGACUUGCCGGUACCCAUGGAGGAAGCCCAGGCUAACUACGUGGCAGCCGCCGCGGUAAUACGUAGGAGGCAAGCGUUGUCCGGAAUUAUUGGGGGUAACGGGUGCGUAGGCGGCCUUUUAAGUCAGAUGUGAAAGCCCACGGCUCAACCGUGGGAUUGCAUUUGAAACUGGAGGGCUUGAGUAUCGGAGAGGGUAGUGGAAUUCCCAGUGUAGCGGUGAAAUGCGUAGAUAUUGGGAGGAACACCAGUGGCGAAGGCGACUACCUGGACGAUUACUGACGCUGAUGCACGAAAGCUAGGGGAGCAAACA
Molecule: ribosomal RNA, 407 nt
Filed under: uncultured bacterium
Lineage: Bacteria
Description: partial 16S ribosomal RNA
Rfam family: Bacterial small subunit ribosomal RNA
Source: RNAcentral